This 283-nucleotide long non-coding RNA is filed under the name Gallus gallus (chicken). The record is from RNAcentral. Lineage: Eukaryota; Metazoa; Chordata; Aves; Galliformes; Phasianidae.
GUUUAGGCUUCUCAUAUUCCUAGUCUUCAGUGCAUUGUACGGCCGUACUUGAAUUUGAUGUUCUAAUAUGGAAUCAGGAUAGCGAUCAAAAAAGAUCUCAUUGGCAGCCAUGUCAAACGUUGGGAUAACUUCCUGAGGAUAGCAGAUGAGCUGCCUGUAAAGAUUUUCAUCAAAUGCUCUUAGAUGGUCACAAUUUACGUUCAGAAACGGCUCCCCAACCAUAUUAAUCUCUUCAAGUCGUUGCAUAUAGCGUGGCUGGUUGAGAUCCAAGCCAAUGUCUUCA